Molecule: long non-coding RNA, 812 nt
Filed under: Lepisosteus oculatus (spotted gar)
Lineage: Eukaryota; Metazoa; Chordata; Actinopteri; Semionotiformes; Lepisosteidae
Description: lncRNA (ENSLOCG00000021955.1)
Source: RNAcentral
CGCACCCGGACCCCGCUGGGCUGCCCGUCCCGGGCUUGAGGGGCCGCGGGGGAGGGGCCACCCCUCGGGGGCAGCGGUGGUCUCCUCCUCCUGUCGUGGCCCGCGCCGGCCCCGGGGAGGGUUUGGGAUGGCCGGCCGGAGGGGGGUCUGAGCCCGGGGGGGUCUCCUUCCGGCUGCGCUGCCCCCUUCUCUCUCUUCACCCCCCCUUCCUCUUCCAGAGUCCGUCUCUCGUCCCCUCCGUCACGGUCCUGCGCUUCCUGGGGUGGUCUACCUCCCUCUCCGUCACGGUCCUGUGCUUCUUGGGGUUGUUUCUGGGACGGUCUCUUGUCCCCUCUGUCACGGUCCUGUGGUUCUUGGGGUCUUCUCUGGGACGGUCUCUUCUCCCUCUCGUCACGGUCCUGUGCUUCCUGGGGUUGCCUCUGGGACGGUCUCUUGUCCCCUCCGUCACGGUCCUGUGCUUCCUGGGGUUGCCUCUGGGACGGUCCCUUGUCCCCUCCGUCACGGUCCUGUGGUUCUUGGGGUCUUCUCUGGGACGGUCUCUUGUCCCCUCCGUCACGGUCCUGUGGUUCUUGGGGUCGUCUCUGGGACGGUCUCUUGUCCCCUCCGUCACGGUCCUGUGCUUCCUGGGGUCGUCUCUGGGACGGUCUCUCGUCCUCUCCGUCACGGUCCUGUGUUUUCUGGGGUGGUCUACCUCCCUCUCGGUCCUGUGGUUCUUGGGGUCGCCUCUGGGACGGUCCCUUGUCCCCUCCGUCACGGUCCUGUGCUCCCUGGGGUGGUGAAACUGUCGCUCCGGCACCAGGAGCAGGUGUCGG